AUAUUAUGAAAGAAAUUGAAAUUGAGUGACUUUUAUAAAAACAUUCAUAAAAUUAAUUUUAUGAGUGAUCACUUGUGAUAUUUACCUUGUUUUUUUAAUAUUUAUAAUAGUAUUCCUCACUUAUCUUGUCCACAUUAGCCUAGCUUUCAAGCCCUAAAUUUUCCAUUAUGCUCCUCUGUUCAAAUUGUUUAUAACAAUAGGGUUCAUGUGGAGAUUUAUCUGACUAUUCCUAAGUUUGUUUUGUAAAAUUAAUCUUCAUUUUGAUAGUUGAUUGCAUGGAUUUUUUUUUCUUUCUUCUUUAAUUAGAGCCAAAAUCUAUAAAUUAAUGGAGGGAAAAACACUUUUUUCUCCCACGGGGCUUUUUGGGUAUUAAAAAAUUUUAAUUAGAUUGAUCAACUAGUAAUUCAUUUGAUUAACAGUGAAUUACCUUUGAUUCUGGUAUGAAUUAAUUUAUUGAAUUAUUAAAACAUUAAGAAUUAAAAAAGUAAUUUUUAUAAGUGCAAGGAUUAAACGGUAGAUUUUACUAAAUUUUAGAGGUUAAAUUAUUAGUUAGUCACAAAUAAAUCUUGAUGAACUGGAUAAUGAACCACAAGAUGCACGUACGACGACGUUUCUUUGAGGACAGUUUAGAGCCCGGCACUCUUUUUCCUUGGCCGCAAAGUCAGUCGGACAAUAAACCGGGUGAAGGAAAAGAAGACAGACGGAGAGGAGUUCAGAGAAGAGUGAAAGAAUGGAAACGCCAAAGACAAUUGCACAUGAAAUCGGAGGGAUCCAAAACGACGCUCUUCGAUUCGGCCUCCACGGCGUCAAAAGCGAUCUCGUCGGAGCUCACCCUCUCGAAUCCGCCUACCAAACUGCGAAGAAGACUCAAGAGGAGAUGAGAAGAAAAAUCCUUGCAAACACAUAUGGCUCUGCCUUUCCACUCAAGAUGGAUCUUGAUCGGCAAAUUCUUUCGCGAUUUCAGAGGCCACCAGGACCAAUUCCAUCUUCAAUGCUAGGCCUUGAGGCUCAUACAGGAAGAUUGGAUGAUUUUGGUUUUGAGGAUUAUCUGAAUGGUGAGUUGUUGUAUCUGAAUGCUGCAUAAAUGUUAUUUCAAAGUUGAUUCAUUUUUUUUGUUGAAGUUGCUUGUUUAAUAUAUGUACAAGCAGUUGAAAUUUUUGAAAUUACUCUUAAAUUUAAUGUCAAUAAAGUUGUCAGAAACUUUAUCCGCCCUUUACUGUUGUAAGAUGAUCAAGGUAGGUUCUUUAUCAUAGAUGGAUAUUACAAUUUUGGUCAUUUAUUUUAUAUAUGAUUUUAUAGCUUUUUUUUAAAGAUUUGUUUGGCAAGUAUAUUUGUGAGGAUUUCUUCAUUGUGAUGUUGGUGGAGCAAAGAGUGGAUCCCACGGGGGAUUGAGCUAUUCCUCUUUUUCUUUAUUUCUUUUUAUGGAUGUAAGAGCCUUGGUUUGGAAUUGCCGAGGGGCAACUAGUGGUACUGUGGUAUCUUCUUUUGAAUUAUAAAGGAAUGGGUGUUUAGAUAUAAAAUUAAUCUUCUUCAUUACAUAUGGCGUCUCUUAUCCUAGGUUGUGUUUGAUGUAAUUCUUCUUGUUCUCUUUCCCUUUCUUCCAAAAAAUUUUGAGCUGGCGAGGUGUUUUAUGUGAUAACCAGCUUGUAGUUCCUAAUGAAAUUCUGAACACAAGUUUUGUUAAACUUUCCUUGCCUUGGUCAUUUGUGCGCCUGGUUAAAUUUGGAAACUUGCUAUCAAAUGAACAAUAGAAUGGUAUUUGAUAGUUUUCUGGCUGUGACUUUGUUGAUUUAAGUCUUCCCUGGGUGUUGCUUGCAGAUCCUCGUGAAUCUGAAACUUUGAGGACGCCUGACAUGCAUCAUGCGAUGGAAGUACGCCUUGGACUUUCCAGGGGACCUGUCUGCCCAAGUUUCCUAUAAAACAAGUGGUUCACUUCUUGUCAAUUGCUAAUAGAGGACGUUGUCUGAACUUAUCAUGCCAUGUGACUGAGACAAUUUGAUUUAGGACCUGUCUGCCCAAGUUUCCUAUAAAACAAGUGGUUCACUUCUUGUCAAUUGCUAAUAGAGGACGUUGUCUGAACUUAUCAUGCCAUGUGACUGAGACAAUUUGAUUUA
This 2114-nucleotide unclassified non-coding RNA is filed under the name Hevea brasiliensis (rubber tree). Lineage: Eukaryota; Viridiplantae; Streptophyta; Magnoliopsida; Malpighiales; Euphorbiaceae. The record is from RNAcentral.